RNAcentral lists this ribosomal RNA (806 nucleotides) under Escherichia coli. RNAcentral's name for it is "partial 23S ribosomal RNA". It matches the Rfam family "Bacterial large subunit ribosomal RNA", at positions 609 to 1414 of the family's 2925-position model. The record is from RNAcentral. Lineage: Bacteria; Pseudomonadati; Pseudomonadota; Gammaproteobacteria; Enterobacterales; Enterobacteriaceae.
UGUAUAAUGGGUCAGCGACUUAUAUUCUGUAGCAAGGUUAACCGAAUAGGGGAGCCGAAGGGAAACCGAGUCUUAACUGGGCGUUAAGUUGCAGGGUAUAGACCCGAAACCCGGUGAUCUAGCCAUGGGCAGGUUGAAGGUUGGGUAACACUAACUGGAGGACCGAACCGACUAAUGUUGAAAAAUUAGCGGAUGACUUGUGGCUGGGGGUGAAAGGCCAAUCAAACCGGGAGAUAGCUGGUUCUCCCCGAAAGCUAUUUAGGUAGCGCCUCGUGAAUUCAUCUCCGGGGGUAGAGCACUGUUUCGGCAAGGGGGUCAUCCCGACUUACCAACCCGAUGCAAACUGCGAAUACCGGAGAAUGUUAUCACGGGAGACACACGGCGGGUGCUAACGUCCGUCGUGAAGAGGGAAACAACCCAGACCGCCAGCUAAGGUCCCAAAGUCAUGGUUAAGUGGGAAACGAUGUGGGAAGGCCCAGACAGCCAGGAUGUUGGCUUAGAAGCAGCCAUCAUUUAAAGAAAGCGUAAUAGCUCACUGGUCGAGUCGGCCUGCGCGGAAGAUGUAACGGGGCUAAACCAUGCACCGAAGCUGCGGCAGCGACGCUUAUGCGUUGUUGGGUAGGGGAGCGUUCUGUAAGCCUGCGAAGGUGUGCUGUGAGGCAUGCUGGAGGUAUCAGAAGUGCGAAUGCUGACAUAAGUAACGAUAAAGCGGGUGAAAAGCCCGCUCGCCGGAAGACCAAGGGUUCCUGUCCAACGUUAAUCGGGGCAGGGUGAGUCGACCCCUAAGGCGAGGCCGAAAGGCGUAG